AUACGGAGGGUGCAAGCGUUAAUCGGAAUUACUGGGCGUAAAGGGCGCGUAGGCGGUCUAUCAAGUCAGUUGUGAAAUCCCACGGCUCAACCGUGGAGGUGCAUCUGAAACUGAUAGACUUGAGUAUGGGAGAGGAAAGUGGAAUUCCCGGUGUAGAGGUGAAAUUCGUAGAUAUCGGGAGGAACACCAGUGGCGAAGGCGACUUUCUGGACCAAUACUGACGCUGAGGCGCGAAAGCGUGGGGAGCAAACAGGAUUAGAAACCCUAGUAGUCC
RNAcentral lists this ribosomal RNA (274 nucleotides) under uncultured bacterium. RNAcentral describes it as "partial 16S ribosomal RNA". It matches the Rfam family "Bacterial small subunit ribosomal RNA", at positions 523 to 796 of the family's 1533-position model. The record is from RNAcentral.